RNAcentral lists this long non-coding RNA (8093 nucleotides) under Ananas comosus (pineapple). RNAcentral's name for it is "long non-coding RNA (ACOM_LNC009020)". Lineage: Eukaryota; Viridiplantae; Streptophyta; Magnoliopsida; Poales; Bromeliaceae. The record is from RNAcentral.
CCAAACCGGAUUACGGGUGCGACGGGAGGCCGAUUGCAAGUGUCGACAAGCAAUCGGAAAGCGUUUUGAGGUGGGUCGUGCUCACUGAAGCGAUUAGGUCGCUUUCCAUGCUAAAGUAUAGUAUGUUUACUAUUGAUGCAUGAUAAAGUAUGCUAUUUAAGAAUGCAUGAUAAAGAUUAAAGUAUGCUAUUUAAGAAUGCAUGAUAAAGAUUAAAGUAUGCUAUUUAAGAAUGCAUGAUAAAGAUAGAUGUCAAAUGAAUGCAUGAGUUGAUGUUAAUUUACAUGAGCAUAUUAUAGAAAUGUUAAACAGAUGUCAAAUGAAAGUAUGAGAUUUAUUCUAACCGAGAAUGCAUGUGGUAAAUGUUAACGAAUGCAUAAAAUGCUAAGUAAUGACUACCAAUGGAUGACAAAAUAUAUGCAUGUUGAACAUAGAUCGAGUGGCAUUUGGAAAUGGUAAAGUGGACACUAGAGUUAGUGUGGGACAUCAAAGAAUAAAUGUGAUGUAAAGAAUAAUGAUAAUGGCUAAAGAUAAUGUAAAACAAUGUGAUGAUAAUAAUGUAAUGUUGCAUGAUGUGAGUACACGUGCUUAUUAGAAUGAUUAAGAAUCUAAAUAAUCUAUGUGUAUGCAUGAGAUGUAAUGUGAGAACCUAAUGAUAAUGGUUUGAGACAAGGCAAAGCAAUGUGAUGUAAAGAAUAAUGAUAAUGGCUAAAGGCGAUGUAAAGUAAUGUGGCAUAAAGAGCAAGCAAAGUGUAAAGAACAAUGAUAAUGGCUAGAGUUAGCAACCAAUGUGACAUAAAGAACACUAGAGUUAGUGUGUGGCAAUAAAAGAACAAGUGUGAUAUCAAGAAUGACAAUUACUAAAGUAAUUGAUAAUUGUGGUAUAAAGAAUAAUGAUUGCUAGAGUUAGCAACUAAUGUGAUGUAAAGAACACUAGAGUUAGUGUAAAACCAUGAUCCAACUACAUAUCCUUAGAGUUAAGGAUUGAUCAUACUUGCUAUGAGUUCCGUGCUCGAGGGCGGUCGCUCCCCCUCGAGCGAUGCGCUCCGGAGUUUGGCAUCCGGGUUGGAGUAGACCCGUAAGGACGGUCCUAGCUGGUGAGUUCCUGCGAUGAUGGACUUAAUGUGAAGCAAGUUAAUGUGGCGAAACCCCCGGGUUAGCCGUGAGAUUAAAGAACAAAGAACAAAAAGGAAUCAUGAAUUGGAAAGUGGAUCUUGUAUUCAUUAUGAAUUGACUCAAGACGGAGUCGAGUGGCAUAGUUGGCUAAAGUAAAGGUGACAAUUGAGAAAGAAUGACAAUUGAGAAACGUUUGUUAAUGUUAUAAAGAAUGGCAAAAGUGUAUAAUGCGCCUAAGGUGCGAGUGCCCUUAAUAAAGAAUAAAGAAUAAAGAAUAAAGAAUAAAGAAUAAAGAAUAAAGAGUAAAGAAUGGCUAAUGAUAAAGAAUAGCAAAUUCUAAAGAAAGUCUAAUGGUAAAGAAUAACUAAGAGUUGCAUAAUUUGCAUAUUUGUGAGGCAUGAACAUGUAUUGCAUGAUGUUAUAUGUAUAUAUAUCUGUUGGACUAACAUGUUGCAGUGCCUCCUUUGGACCUGGUGGGUUGAGCUUUUCACUUGGGUGGCUGUACCCACUGACGACUAUGGACAAUAGUCUCACCCCCGUGUUGUUGUUUUUGGGGGUACAGGUUCACACGCGAGCGGCGCGGCGGCGCGAGGAAAGGGCGUAGCUCCGUAGUUAGCGCCCUACCACAGAGACCAGAUAGCAGCACCCUGAGUCGGCUUCUUAGGGGUAUAAGAAAAGAAAAGAAAAGAAUUGAUGUUGUAAUAUUAUGUUUAGAAAUCGAUUGUAUAUUUGGAAGUUGAGAAUCAAUGUAAUGAAAAAUGCGAUGUAAAAUGAUGAGAUGAAUGAUUGUAAUAACAUAGGAUGUGUUAUGUUGUUUGAUACCUUCCUUAUGCAAUCGUUGUUGAAAAAUUGUUCCUGUUUGGAACCUCUUGUACUUGGAUUGAUUGCGACGCCUUGAACGUACAGGGGAGACUCUGUCCGCGUGUAGGGAAAACCCUGUCCGUUCGGCGGUCUGUUGGCGUGCCCGAAUCCGACCAAAGAGGCGGGCUCGGGGCGUGACAGAUAAGAUGGUAUCAGAGCAUAAAGUAGAGAAUGGGAAAGUGGUUUAGAUGAACCUAGGAGACCCUAGGAUAGUAAACCAUAGGAGAUUAAGGCUCGUGAGAGACGAGGACUUGUGGCUUUGGCGAAAGGUUAAGGGAUUGGGUUGUGUUGUAAACCUCUAAAAAGGAGAUUAGAGGUGGAUUCAAGGUGUGGUCUACUCUCAACCGAGGGUGUUCAUGUUGGACGCGUACAACAUGAAACCGAGUGAUGAGAAUAGAUGACCUUGUAUGACUUUCGCCUGAUUUGAGUUGAUGUCAGUUGUCUCGUACUCGACCUAGAAGGUUGAGAGUUAGUUGAGUUGUUAUGUUCUAGGUAACGAUGGCACUGCGUAGGCGAUCUUCGUUUAGAUCGACGCGGGGUGGGACAAGUGAUGUCCCAGAGCAAUCCAAGGCGAGCGGAGAUUUGGAACUUCGCGAACAGUUGGCCACACUUGUGGGUGUGGUGAGGCAACGAGCAGAUGUGGUGCAGCGGCAGCAGGAGGCUGUUAUGCACCAGGAGGAGCGAAUUAAGAGACUCCUGAAAAGUUGUAGGUGUAAUAUACCGAAACUUCGGUAAGCGAACAUCGAACCUUGGUCAAAUUAACCAAAGAGCGAGGUUGGUACACUUCGGAAAGGCCGAAGGCAUCAAAUAAUGCAAAAGUGCGUUACUGGGGAUCUUCGAGAGCUUUGGGAAUCAAAAUCUGCAAAUUGCAGGUUUUCUGCUCUCGGGGACCGGUCUCUGGUGGGAGAGACCGGUCCCCGCACGCGCAGACAGCGAAAGGGAGGAAAAAAAAAAAAAGGCUAAGUCCCCGGUGGACAGCUCUCGGGAACCGGUCCCUGCAGGGAGAGACCGGUCCCGAAGAGACCGGUCCCAUCGGGGGAGACCGGAUGCAUCGUGCGUGAGCCCUGCUGACCGCGGGGAGAGCUCUCGGAGACCGGUCCCUCGUCGGGGAGACCGGUCCCCGAACCUGAGAGUGGCCCAGUCAGGGCAGUGUAAAAGAGUAAAAGUUGAGAGGCUUGUUUGCACUUAUGCAACAUGUGGGGCUAUGUGAGGAGUAUGAGAGCUCUUUUCUCUCAUUUCUCAUCCACACACCCUCUCAUAUCUCUCUUUCUCUCUCUCUAGAAGACAAGAAGAGGAAGAAGAAAGGAAGGAAAAAGAAAGAGAAAGAGCGGGCUUUGGCAGCCCUCAUGACCUUCAUAAAGUUUGAUCCACCUACCUUCGAUGGAGAGAAUGUCGAUUCGUGGAUUGUGGAUACGUGGAUUGACUCCGUGGAAACGCUCUUCGAGGAGCUGUCUACCUUGGAGCGGGACAAGGUACCCCUAGCCGUGUAUUGUUUGAAACAGUCGGCUAAGGCGUGGUGGAAAGGCAUUCGACGGAACCGAUCGCCUAGUAUUCCUCCAUGGCAUGGGAUGAGUUUUGGGGAUUGGUAUCUUCUACUUACUUCCCCCGACAGUGAAAAGAGAAAGCUUCAGGACAAGUUCAGGAAGCUGCGGCAAGGAGACCGCUCAGUUAGAGAAUACGAACGGGAAUUCUCCCUAUCAUGAACUGUAUCCGAGAUAUGGAGCCUGCUGCUGACGACGUCAUGGCGGGUAUGAGCUGUUAAUGCAGUUAUGUGUUUCUGCAUAAUGUAGAGUUGGUGCAUUGCAUGCAUUGAGCAUGUAAUUAAUUACUACUAUUUAUGUAGUAGCAUAGUAGGGUCCAAGUGAGCGGGUAAAUGUAAACACCCGGGCACGCUUAUGUGGUGAAAGCGUUGCACCUGCCGGUGCAGGUAGAGAACUGGAUGGUACUAGCGAGUUGCUAGUGGUGGUCUAAUGAUGAGACUUGUAGUAGAGGUGGAAAUGACGAACCAACUCGCAGAGCAAUCUAUGUAAUUGAUUGCGAGAGUUGUGUCAUGACACUUGUGGACACUCGAAUGGUUUGAGUGUUCUAGAUGUUGCUCCGGUAGAGCGAUUGGCUGCCAAAUACGGGCGCGUUGGCCUAGUAGUACCUCGAAUUGAGGUGGGUGAGUCGUGCUCGUGUGGCCGGUGUGCAUAGGCAAGAGUUGCCUAAUGCUGGACAUAGUGUGGAGCGCUUUAGAGGCGUGCGAUACACGAGUAUAGUUACUCGUGGAGUGCGGAUUUAGUUCAGCCGGAUGAGUGUGUUGGCAGUAGCACCUGAGCAUUGCUAGGUGUGAAGCGUGCCACGGAUCACUCGUGGGGCUGGUGGCUCGCACUAGGUGCAUAGGAGCCGAUAGUGGUACGUAUUGUGCUAUAGAGCGUGUAGUGCGAUUGAUAGUAUACUGAGAGUGCGAGUGUGACCCAACCCGGGAAUCUGUAACGGUUUGGGAUCUUAGUUGCUCCUGGUUGGAGUGUGUGCGAAUUCCCAAGUGAGAAUUUCGCCCCAAUGAUGAUUGGGUCUGCAUUGCGAGCGAGAGACGCUGCGUAUUGAGAAAGGUUUAGGUGGUAGGCCUACAUAGUAUUGGUGGCCUUUGGACCACCAGUGGAAACCGAGGAAAGCGAUUUGGCGGAUAGACUUAUCGAGAGGUUUGACUCGAAUUCACGAACAAAGUGUUCUUGUGAGCUCUUUGCAGAAAUGGUUUGACGUUGACCAUGGCAUAUGGUAUUGAAAAAUGAAGUGCUCUUGGAGAGACCUUGAGCUUAUGGCAAGCCACGUGGAAUUUGAGAACUGGAAGUGGGGAUGUGCCGAAGUGGGCCAUCUCACUUAGAGCAAAAAGUCGGGGCGGAAUUAGAGCACUCGCGGUGAAGCGAUGCACUAGUGAUGUUGCUUUUAAGCAAUGUUGGAGAUAGAAUCGGAGUGUAUUCCCUGAGGGGAAAGUAAAUGCGAAGAAGAGUUCUUGUAUGCCAAAUGACAAGUGGUAUUGGACCGCGUGAAGUCGUUGAGUUUCGACUUGCGCCGCCACCAAGAGUGAUGGAUACCCUAAUGCACUUUGUGAGAUGCGCCUUGCAAAUUUGGAUGCAUUUAGUAUCAUGAACUCCGUGGUAGUCCUCUUGGAUAGUUCCAAGGAGUGUGAAGCCAUUCCGAAGUGGAAAGCGUAUUGGUGCUCUCAAUUACUCGAGGAGCUGAAUCGAGUUGUGGUUUGAAUUUCGCGGACGAAAUUCUUUUAAGGGGUGGAGAAUGUAAUAUACCGAACUUCUAAAUUCACGAAGUUACGAUGUAAGUUAGCUUAGAAAGCCAUUGGAAUCGUCCCGGCGAAGUUCGGGAGCAUUCGGGUGCUUCGGUGCGCAUAGGGCGCGAAAACGGAGCCGAAAGGCUAUGUUGGACCGUGAGUUAAAUCCGGCAUUAGCGUGGAUGAAAAGAUGAUGAAAACAUGUUCGAAAACAUAUUUGGAGAGUCUCGGUUCGAUUUGAAAUGAAUCAGAGGUCAAACGAGCGAAAACGAGCGAAAACGGAGCUAAAAUGGUGAAAAAGCUGAAAAUUUGGCUAAGUCCUUGAAGGCUGAUUUCUGGACCUUCGGGGACCGGUCUCUCAGUCAAGGACCGGUCUCUCAGGGACCGGUCUCUCAUCGCAAGGACCGGUCCCCGAAGCCCGAAAAUGCCCAGUUCGGGCUGUUGUGAGAAAUGCAUUGUUGAGGGUGUUUUCAGCAAUUUUGCACUAAUAGAGGCUAUUAGAUGGUGGAAUGAGAUCUUUCUCUCAUUUCUCUCACUCUCCCACACCAAAACCUCUCCCUCUCUCUCUCUAGAAAGAAAAGAAGGAGAAGAAGAGGGGAAAGAAAGGGAAGAAGAAGAUGAAGGAGAAGAGGCCAAGAAGAUAGAGUUUCAUCUUCAUCUCCUUCCUUGAGCCAUAGGAGCAAGCUUAGAGAGGUAAGCCUUAUGCUCUCUAAUGGUAGACUUCUAGAACUUGGUUUAUAUGUUCUAGAAUUGGAUUUUAUGUACUCCUAGCAUGUCAAAUAGAUGAUAAAUGCUUGGAUCAUGAGAUGAAAUGGUAGAUUUUGCAAUAGUUGCAUAUUAGGGCUCCAAAAAGGGGGUUUUUGUAGAUAGUUGAGUUUGAUCUCAAUUGACCCUCUAUAAACCUAAUUGGGGGUAUAACGAACGCGUUGGUGCGCUCGGUUCGACAAUCCGACGAGUGUACGCAAAGUUAUUGACGAAACAAUCUGUUUUGGUACAGAUAACUGCAGCACGCGGGAUAAGCCUCCAAAAAUCAUGAGAAUGGAUCGGGAGCAUCGUGGUGUCGGGGAAUAAACUCCCGAACAGACGGAUCGCGAAUUGGUGGCCGUUCGGGUGGUCGCACAAGAGUUCGGGCCAGACCGGGUUACGGAUGCCGCGGGAGGCCGAUUGCAAGUGUCGACAAGCAAUCGGAAAGCGUUUUGAGGUGGGUUGUGCUCACCGAAGCGAUUAGGUCGCUUUCCAUGCCAAAGUGUAGUAUGUUUACUAUUGAUGCAUGAUAAAGUAUGCUAUUUGAGAAUGCAUGAUAAAGUAUGCUAUUUAAGAAUGCAUGAUAAAGAUAGAUGCCAAAUGAAUGCAUGAGUUGAUGUUAAUUUACAUGUGCAUAUUAUAGAAAUGCUAAAUAGAUGUCAAAUGAAAGUAUGAGAUUUAUACUAACCGAGAAUGCAUGUAGUAAAUGUUAACGAAUGCAUAAAAUGCUAAGUAAUGACUACCAAUGGAUGACAAAAUAUAUGCAUGUUGAACAUAGAUCGAGUGGCAUUUGGAAAUGGUAAAGUGGACACUAGAGUUAGUGUGGGACAUCAAAGAAUAAAUGUGAUGUAAAGAAUAAUGAUAAUGGCUAAAGAUAAUGUAAAACAAUGUGAUGAUAAUAAUGUAAUGUUGCAUGAUGUGAGUACACGUGCUUAUUAGAAUGACUAAGAAUCUAAAUAAUCUAUAUGUAUGCAUGAGAUGUAAUGUGAGAACCUAAUGAUAAUGGCUUGAGACAAGGCAAAGCAAUGUGAUGUAAAGAAUAAUGAUAAUGGCUAGAGGCGAUGUAAAGUAAUGUGGCAUAAAGAACAAGCAAAGUGUAAAGAACAAUGAUAAUGGCUAGAGUUAGCAACCAAUGUGACAUAAAGAACACUAGAGUUAGUGUGUGGCAAUAAAAGAACAAGUGUGAUAUCAAGAAUGACAAUUACUAAAGUAAUUGAUAAUUGUGGUAUAAAGAAUAAUGAUUGCUAGAGUUAGCAACUAAUGUGAUGUAAAGAACACUAGAGUUAGUGUAAAACCAUGAUCCAACUACAUAUCCUUAGAGUUAAGGAUUGAUCAUACUUGCUAUGAGUUCCGUGCUCGAGGGCGGUCGCUCCCCCUCGGGCGAUGCGCUCCGGAGUUUGGCAUCCGGGUUGGAGUAGACCCGUAAGGACGGUCCUAGCUGGUGAGUUCCUGUGAUGAUGGACUUAAUGUGAAGCAAGUUAAUGUGGCGAAACCCCCGGGUUAGCCGUGAGAUUAAAGAACAAAGAACAAAAAAGGAAUCAUGAAUUGGAAAGUGGAUCUUAUAUUCAUUAUAAAUUGACUCAAGACCGAGUCGAGUGGCAUAGUUGGCCAGGGUAAAGGUAACCCUGUGAAAGAAUGACAAUUGAGAAAGAAUGACAAUUGAGAAACGUUUGUUAAUGUUAUAAAGAAUGGCAAAUGUGUAUAAUGCGCCUAAGGUGCGAGUGCCCUUAGCAAAGAAUAAAGAAUAAAGAAUAAAGAAUAAAGAAUAGAGAAUGGCUAAUGAUAAAGAAUUGCAUAUUCUAAAGAAAGGCUAAUGGUAAAGAAUGACUAAGAGUUGCAUAAUUUGCAUAUUUGUGAGGCAUGAACAUGUAUUGCAUGAUGUUAUAUGUAUAUAUCUGUUGGACUAACAUGUUGCUGUGCCUCCUUUGGACCUGGUGGGUUGAGCUCUUCCCUUGGGUGGCUGUACCCACUGACGACUAUGGACAAUAGUCUCACCCCCGUGUUGUUGUUUUUGGGGGUACAGGUUCACACGCGAGCGGCGCGGCGGCGCGAGGAAAGGGCGUAGCUCCGUAGUUAGCGCCCUACCACAGAGACCAGAUAGCAGCACCC